AGGGAGCGGAGGCAGGUGACAUUGGGAAGGUGGCUUUGCUGGCCACUUCACAUUAGGGCAGUUGUGGAUCACAGCAUCAGCAAGUAACGCUUCUUUAAGUGACCUUGACUGCGUUUCGUAUCUGAAGAAGAGCGACAUUUGGGUUUUCUAAUUUAGAAGCACAAAAGAGGUUGGAAGAGAC
RNAcentral lists this long non-coding RNA (181 nucleotides) under Coturnix japonica (Japanese quail). RNAcentral's name for it is "lncRNA (ENSCJPG00005012837.1)". Lineage: Eukaryota; Metazoa; Chordata; Aves; Galliformes; Phasianidae. The record is from RNAcentral.